AUGGAGUCAGGCGUUCCGACGGGCAAAUUUGAGGUAGAUGAGAUAUCUGGAACUUCUACGUCUACCCUCCCCAUUCACAACGUAGGGGAAGAAGACUCGGCCACUUACUACUGUGCCUUCUGGGAGGUGCACAAAGCUGUAACCAGUGUGACAUCAUACUGGAUCAAGAUAUUUGGAAAAGGGACUAAGCUCAUAGUAACUCCCUCUGAUAGACGCCUUCCUGCAAACAUUUCUCCCAAGCCUACCAUUUUUCUUCCUUCAAUUGCUGAAAUCAACCUCCAUAGGACUGGAACAUACAUUUGUCUUCUUGAGAAUUUCUUCCCUGACGUUAUUAAGGUAUAUUGGAAACAAAAGAAUUGCAACACAAUUCUGGAAUCCCAGGAGGGAAAAACCAUGAAAACUAAUGACACAUACAUGAAACUCAGCUGGCUGACCGUGACUGAAAAGUCAUUGAAUAAAGAACACAAAUGUAUCGUCCAACACGAGAAUAAUAAAGGAGGGGUUGACCAGGAGAUUCUUUUUCCUUCAGAGAAUGAUGAUAUCUUGCAGUUGCAGCUCACCUACACUUCAGGCUGUUACACCUACUUCUUCCUGCUCCUCACGAGUGCCGGACACUUGGCCAUCAUCGCCUCCUGUCUGCUCCGGAGAACAGCAGUCUGCGGCAACGCACGGAGUUCAUGACAGAUGGUGGUACAAGAAAGGAAAGUUGUCUCCAGUGUUUAUUUUCCCUAACUGUGUCUCCUGAGGAUCUAGCUGGGCUUUCUCUCUACAUUUGGGUUCUUUCAGUUCACAAGCGUAGUUUUCUAUCUUGUCAUUAUUGUAUAAUGGUUUUUCAAACCACUGGGCAAACAGAAAACCUGAAUCUGUAACAAAAUGAAUUCUGCCAUUACUCAGGGGUGGGGUUGGGAGUGGUCCUUUAGCACCACUGUCUCCGUGAUCUCCAUCAGCUCCUCCAGGACCUGAAUGACCAUGCCUUCUGAGUACAGACAGCAUGCUGCUCUAGUCAUGUCCCUUAGGGCCAUUUAACCAGAACCACCUUGAAGCCUUCCAUUUUACACACCCUGAAUAUAACAUCUUUGCUACUUGAAUACUGUACUUUGUUUUUCACAUUAGGCACAAUAAAAAAAAUCACAAGUCUA
Molecule: non-coding RNA, 1139 nt
Organism: Equus caballus (horse)
Lineage: Eukaryota; Metazoa; Chordata; Mammalia; Perissodactyla; Equidae
Source: the annotation of a RefSeq genome assembly